Molecule: ribosomal RNA, 497 nt
Filed under: uncultured bacterium
Lineage: Bacteria
Description: partial 16S ribosomal RNA
Rfam family: Bacterial small subunit ribosomal RNA
Source: RNAcentral
GAAGAAAGCGGGCGGCGGGCCUAAUACAUGCAAGUUGAGCGCUGAAGGUUGGUACUUGUACCGACUGGAUGAGCAGCGAACGGGUGAGUAACGCGUGGGGAAUCUGCCUUUGAGCGGGGGACAACAUUUGGAAACGAAUGCUAAUACCGCAUAAAAACUUUAAACACAAGUUUUAAGUUUGAAAGAUGCAAUUGCAUCACUCAAAGAUGAUCCCGCGUUGUAUUAGCUAGUUGGUGAGGUAAAGGCUCACCAAGGCGAUGAUACAUAGCCGACCUGAGAGGGUGAUCGGCCACAUUGGGACUGAGACACGGCCCAAACUCCUACGGGAGGCAGCAGUAGGGAAUCUUCGGCAAUGGACGAAAGUCUGACCGAGCAACGCCGCGUGAGUGAAGAAGGUUUUCGGAUCGUAAAACUCUGUUGGUAGAGAAGAACGUUGGUGAGAGUGGAAAGCUCAUCAAGUGACGGUAACUACCCAGAAAGGGACGGCUAACUACGUG